Molecule: ribosomal RNA, 498 nt
Filed under: uncultured archaeon
Lineage: Archaea
Description: bacterial SSU rRNA
Rfam family: Archaeal small subunit ribosomal RNA
Source: RNAcentral
AGAGGUCACUGCUAUCAGUGUUCGACUAAGCCAUGCAAGUCAAAUGUUCUUCGUGAACAUGGCGGACUGCUCAGUAACACGUGGAUAACCUGCCCUUAGGAUUGGCAUAACACCGGGAAACUGGUGAUAAUACCGAAUAGACCAUUUAUGCUGGAAUGCUUCUUGGUUCAAAGGCUUCGGCUGCCUAAGGAUGGAUCUGCGGCCUAUCAGGUAGUAGUGGGUGUAAUAUACCUACUAGCCUACGACGGGUACGGGUUGUGAGAGCAAGAGCCCGGAGAUGGAUUCUGAGACAUGAAUCCAGGCCCUACGGGGCGCAGCAGGCGCGAAAACUUUACAAUGCGGGAAACCGCGAUAAGGGGACACUGAGUGCCAGCAUAUUAUGUUGGCUGUCCACAUGUAUAAAAACCAUGUGUUAGCAAGGGCCGGGCAAGACCGGUGCCAGCCGCCGCGGUAACACCGGCGGCCCGAGUGGUGAUCACUUUUAUUGGGUCUAAAGGG